Molecule: long non-coding RNA, 1668 nt
Organism: Prionailurus viverrinus (fishing cat)
Lineage: Eukaryota; Metazoa; Chordata; Mammalia; Carnivora; Felidae
Exons: 3
Source: RefSeq, a predicted model, not a curated record
ACGCAGUAGUGGAAUUAAUGAAUAUCUAUUUUUAAGUUUUUGAGGAACCAUAACACUUUUUUGACAAUAGCAUUAUAUUCAGGCCUUAUAAAAUGAAUGGGACAACAUUACUAUACCAGACUUAUAAAAUUAAUAACUCAAUACCAGAUGAUGGGGGAAGGCUUUAUUCAAACAAUUUUAUAUUACUAUUAAUAAUAUCGAUAUAAAAUAGAAACCACGUUUUUUACAUGACAUGACUUAAGGAACUACCAAGGUAAUGUUGCAUCUUUUCCCCAAAAGCUCUUUUCCUAAAUAUUUACCUCUGUGACCUUUAUGUUUAUUUCUAGGUAAAAACUGUGUUUCGAUGGUGAAAAUAGCUUUCAAGUCCAUGAAUAAGGACACAUGUGUACUUUUAUGUAUACCUUUCCAUUUAUCAGAAAUAUAAGAGGGACAGAGAACUUGAGAGAGAAAAUCUUCAGGUGAAGCAAGCAAGCUGAAACUGAGGAAAUUCUUCCUGAAAGAAUGAUUUAUUUCUUCCAAAGAAAUUUGGUUUAUCAAACUCAAUCAACAAAUGAGUGAACCCAUGGUGUGGUUAUUUACAGCAAAAUUUAAAACCCAACAGAUUUCUCUUUCCCAUCUAGCAUGCUUCUGUCUAACCUCUCAUCAUUAGUUGGUAUGUACAAAAGACACAAUUCACUUUAUUUAUAAUUGAAAUCCAGUCAGAAAUAAUAGGUGAACCUUCACUUCUCACAUUUGGACUUCUCUCUCUCUCCCUCCCGACAGGAAGGGAGACUUACCUAACAGGUGAAUUUGGGAGAAGGAGCUAGGCAGUGCUUAUGUGUUUCUGAGUCUCCUCUUUGAAAAGAUGUGCCUGCCCACAGUAACAUGAAUUUGGGUCUGCUCUCAGCUCUGUGAAAGAGAAGAGCAGUGUUACUUGUCGCCUACCCAGUGUCACCUGUCACAGCUCCACCAAGAAAAAUGACUAGACAACACUUACAGAAACAUUCUCUUCUUCCUUGACUUCAUAACUAAUGUACAUUGUUCAAAAGCAACGCCCACUCAAAAGAGAGAAAAAGUUGAAAGAAACCAUUUUAGAAACAAACAUAGAAAGUCAGACAAACUGAGGACACAGAGGAAUACCUUCCAAAUGAAAGAACAUGACAAAACCUAAGGAAAAAAAAAACUAACAAAACUAAGAAAAAAAACUAAGAAAAAAAAACAGAGAGAAGUGAUGAGUUCAAGGUAAAGGUCAUAAAGAUGCUCAGUGAACUUGGGAGGGGAAUGAAUGGAUCCAGUGAUAACAUCUACAAAGAGAUAGAAGAUAUAAAAAAGAACCAAUCAGAGCUGAAGGAUACAAUAACAGAAAUGACAAAUACACUAGGGGGAAUCAACAGCAGAUAAGAAGAUGCAGAAGAACAGAUCAACAAUUUGCAAGACAGGGUAGUAGAAAUCAUCCAAGCUGACAAAGAAAAAAGAAAAAAGAAAAAAGAACUUUAAAAAUGAGACUAGGUUAAGGGACCUGUGGGACAACAUCCAGUGUAAUAAUACUUGCAUUCAAGGGGUUCCAGAAAAAGAAAAGAGAAACGGGCAAAGAACUCAUUUGAAGAAAUAAAAGCUUCAUUUUAAAAAUUCACAUAUUUGCUUGAUUUAGCUAUUUAUAAAAUGCUCUACAAUCGCUCAGCAAGAUAU